GGGCCUGUAGUUCAAUGGACAGAAUACCGGGUUUCGGCCCCGUUGAUCUAGGUUCGAAUCCUAGCAGGCUCA
Molecule: transfer RNA, 72 nt
Filed under: Nanobdellota archaeon
Lineage: Archaea; Nanobdellati; Nanobdellota
Also listed under: 3 other names
Description: tRNA-Arg
Rfam family: tRNA
About the family: Transfer RNA (tRNA) molecules are approximately 80 nucleotides in length. Their secondary structure includes four short double-helical elements and three loops (D, anti-codon, and T loops).
Source: RNAcentral